This 460-nucleotide ribosomal RNA is filed under the name uncultured bacterium. Its description in RNAcentral is "partial 16S ribosomal RNA". It matches the Rfam family "Bacterial small subunit ribosomal RNA", at positions 338 to 795 of the family's 1533-position model. The record is from RNAcentral.
CCUACGGGUGGCAGCAGUGAGGAAUAUUGGUCAAUGGACGAGAGUCUGAACCAGCCAAGUCGCGUGAAGGAUGACUGCUCUAUGGGUUGUAAACUUCUUUUAUAUAGGAAUAAAACGAGGCACGUGUGCCUUUUUGUAUGUACUUUAUGAAUAAGCAUCGGCUAACUCCGUGCCAGCAGCCGCGGUAAUACGGAGGAUCCGAGCGUUAUCCGGAUUUAUUGGGUUUAAAGGGAGCGUAGAUGGGUAGUUAAGUCAGUGGUGAAAGUUUGCGGCUCAACCGUAAAAUUGCAAUUGAUACUGGCAGUCUUGAGUACAGUUGAGGUAGGCGGAAUUCGUGGUGUAGCGGUGAAAUGCUUAGAUAUCACGAAGAACCCCGAUUGCGAAGGCAGCUUACUAAACUGUGACUGACAUUGAUGCUCGAAAGUGUGGGUAUCAAACAGGAUUAGAUACCCCUGUAGUC